Molecule: ribosomal RNA, 497 nt
Filed under: uncultured bacterium
Lineage: Bacteria
Description: partial 16S ribosomal RNA
Rfam family: Bacterial small subunit ribosomal RNA
Source: RNAcentral
GAUGAACGCUGGCGGCGUGCCUAAUACAUGCAAGUCGAGCGAACAGACGAGGAGCUUGCUCCUCUGACGUUAGCGGCGGACGGGUGAGUAACACGUGGAUAACCUACCUAUAAGACUGGGACAACUUCGGGAAACCGGAGCUAAUACCGGAUAAUAUCUUGAACCGCAUGGUUCAAUAGUGAAAGACGGUUUUGCUGUCACUUAUAGAUGGAUCCGCGCCGCAGUAGCUAGUUGGUAAGGUAACGGCUUACCAAGGCAACGAUGCGUAGCCGACCUGAGAGGGUGAUCGGCCGCACUGGAACUGAGACACGGUCCUGGCUCCUGCGGGAGGCAGCAGUAGGGGAUCUUCCGCAAUGGGCGAAAGCCUGGCGGAACGACGCCGCGUGAGUGAUGAAGGUCUUCGGAUCGUAAAGCUCUGUUAUUAGGGAAGAACAAAUGUGUAAGUAACUAUGCACGUCUUGACGGUACCUAGUCAGAAAGCCACGGCUAACUACGUG